Gadus macrocephalus (Pacific cod) is the source of this 1412-nucleotide long non-coding RNA. RefSeq lists it as uncharacterized. NCBI's taxonomy places the organism in Eukaryota, Metazoa, Chordata, Actinopteri, Gadiformes, Gadidae. The transcript has 3 exons. The record is from RefSeq and is a predicted model, not a curated record.
CGGUAACCCCUCCCGACCCGGUGGGUUCCCGGGGGCCAACAGCCCGGGCCCCGUAGCCGACCUGUACGGACCCAGCAGCCAGGAGUCCGCUGUGGGGAACUACAUCAGCGCCGCCAGCCCCCAGCCUGGAGCCGGCUUCGGCCCCAGCAUCACUGGCCCGUUGAUUGCGACAGCUUUCACAAACGGAUAUCACUGAGCCGCCGCUCGGUCGCACCAGAGAGCGUGUCUGGUGUGGUGAGGAAGACGAGCUGAGGUGUGUAGUUGGCUGUAUGUUCGGGGGCCACCAACACCUCGGCCCUGCCACAACCCCACCCCCAAUCCCCCCCCCCCCCACCCCCACCCCUCCCACCGGAAGACCCCGGGGAGCCCCAGACCGUACGAAGAAACGAAAAGAAAAGAAAAAAAAAAGUUAGUCAUCUCAGAAAAAAAGGAACAGCUGCUGUACUAUAGACCUCUAGAAGCUCACCUGGUUCGGUAUGUUUCCAAUCGACUUCACUCACCUCCUUCCUCCCUUCUGUUCGGACCUGUUGAUAGAGAGUCGUUUCAGUUGAUCUAUCGUUUCUCGUGUCAUUUCCUUUGACCUGAUAGUAUACUUGUGGAAAUGGGUUUUGUUUGAAUUCGGAGGGGUGGGAGUUACAGCCAAGAAUAUUUGCAAAGUCAUGUCUUCACUUUUGUAUCGAUUCUAGCAAGGAAAAAAAAUAAUAAUUGGAGAAAUGUUGUGUCUAUGCACAAAAAGCCAAUUGAGAGUGAAAAGACUGAAAAUUAUUUAAUUUUAAAUUCAAUGAAAUUCAAUGAAAUUGCAGAGGGUCUCUUAGUCAUAAUUCUAAGUAGCGGUUUUAAUUCUUGUGACGUCUCAUUGUUAACCAUAAUUACCUAUUUUCGGGCAAUACAAAGAGGACUCCAAUAUUUUUAUGGUCCUUUUUUAUAAGUGUUGUUUUGUUGAUUAGAAAAUAUAUAUAUAUGCUAUAACAAAUUUCAUAUAACUACAUUGUGAAUUCAAACUUGAAGAAAAGAAAUGUAGCUGUACAUAUUAUUCCAGUCACUGCAUAUAACCAACUUAAUGAGAGAAUAGCAUAUUUUUGUGAUGGUGUGUCAAAGAAAAUGUUAUAGCGUGUGAAUAGAAAAAAAAAAAGAAAAAUCCGUAAACAAUUAUCGUCCUACUGCUGGAAAACGGAAGCCAGUGCGACAGAACACAAGCUCUGUGUAUAUACUCUGCUGAAUAAUUUUACAAGUGUCAUACCAGCAAAUUUUCAAAUGGUGAGUAAAGCAAAGCAAGCGCAGUUUUGACGACGAGAAGGUUCCUCGCUGGCAUCUUUGGUCUCACUGUUAAAGAUAUAAUUUCAAAGAUGAAAAAAAAAAAAGAUUGAAUCCAAAGCACACCGUUCCUUGGGCCGUAUUUACUCAACAGUUUG